Long non-coding RNA from Cydia fagiglandana, 678 nucleotides. RefSeq lists it as uncharacterized. NCBI's taxonomy places the organism in Eukaryota, Metazoa, Arthropoda, Insecta, Lepidoptera, Tortricidae. The record is from RefSeq and is a predicted model, not a curated record. The transcript has 2 exons.
AGGAGAAAAUAGACUACGUCGACGAGUAUGUACACAUGGGUCAGCUAACAGCCACAAGUGAUACUAUGGCUAAAGAAAUUGAUAGAAGAAUAGCCAACACUUGGAAAGGUUUUGGUCACUUAGCGAAGUAAUGAAAAACCAAGACAUGCCAAUAAAGGAAAAGAGGAAAGUCUUUAACACGUGCAUCCUACCGUGUUUAAUAUACGGGUGCCAAGCAUGGGCACUAACUGAAAUAUUAAGUAACAAAAUUAAAGUAUGUCAAAAUAGUACAUCUAGAGAAGUAAUUGGAGUAAAAAGAAGAGAUAAAAUAGAACUAAACAAAAUUAAAGGUAUAACCAAAUUCAAAGAUGCGAACAAAAUAUGUAAAACACUGAAAUGGAAGUGAGCAGGACAUAUGAUAAGAGCAAAAACUGAUAAAUGGACCAGGAAGAUAACAGAAUGGUAACCAAGAGGCUAUGAAAGGAACUAGGGCGGCCAAUGGAAACGCUGGGAAGAUGACCUCAAAAAAGUGGCCGGCCCAGGAUGGAUUAGACUUGCAAGAGACAAGGAGAAAUGGCAAUCUUUAGAGGAGGCGUUUGUCGAAAGACAAGCUGUUGUUACAAAACCCAAUCAUCGGAAAAGAAAUACUUAAUAUUGUUAUCACUGUAGAGCAGCAAUAAAGGCUUAUUUUAUUUAUUA